This 3438-nucleotide ribosomal RNA is filed under the name Capsicum baccatum. RNAcentral's name for it is "eukaryotic LSU rRNA". It matches the Rfam family "Eukaryotic large subunit ribosomal RNA". Lineage: Eukaryota; Viridiplantae; Streptophyta; Magnoliopsida; Solanales; Solanaceae. The record is from RNAcentral.
GUGACCCCAGGUUAGGCCAAAUUACCUGCUGAGUUUAAGCAUAUCAAUAAGCGGAGGAAAAUAAACUUACAAGUAUUUCCUUAGUAGCGGCGAGCGAACCGGGAAUAGCUCAGCCUUAGAAUUUGGCGGCUCCGUCGUCCGAAUUGUAGUCUGGAAAGCCGUCGUCAGCGGCGGACUGGGACCAAGUCCCCUGGAAGGGGGUGCCGGAGAGGGUGAGAGCCCCGUUAUGCCCGAACCCUGUCGCUCGUUGAGGCACUGCCUACGAGUUGGGUUGUUUGGGAAUGCAGCCCAAAUCGGGCAGUAAAUUUCAUCCAAUGCUAAAUACGGGCUAGAGACCGAUAGCGAACAAGUACCACAAGGGAAAGAUGAAAAAGACUUUGAAAAUAGAGUCAAAGAGUGCUUGAAAUUGACAGGAGGAAAGUGGAUGGGGGCCGGCGAUGCGCCCCGAGAAUGAUGUAGAACGGCGAUGAGCCGGUCUGCCGAUCGACUUGGGGCGUAGACCAGCGUCGAUUGGGGGGGGCGGCCAAAGCCCGGGCUCUCGAUANGGAAGCGGAUGGGGGCCGGCGAUGCGCCCCGGUCGGAUGUGGAACGGCGACGAGCCGGUCCGCCGAUCGACUCGGGGCGUGGACCAGCGUGGAUUGGGGGGGCGGCCAAAGCCCGGGCUCUCGAUACGCUCGUGGAACGCCGUCUCCUCGAUUGUGGCAGGCAGCGCGCGCCUCCGGCGUGCUUCGGCAUCUGCGCGCUCCGGACGCUGGCCUGUGGGCUCCCCAUUCGACCCGUCUUGAAACACGGACCAAGGAGUCUGACAUGUGUGCGAGUCAACGGGCGAGUAAACCGGUAGGACGCAAUGAAGCUGAUUGGUGGGAUCCCCCCAAGGGGUGCACCGCCGACCGACCUUGAUCUUCUGAGAAGGGUUUGAGUGUGAGCAUACCUGUCGGGACCCGAAAGAUGGUGAACUAAGCCUGAGCGGGGCGAAGCCAGAGGAAACUCAGGUAGAGGCCCGCAGCGAUACUGACAUGCAAAUAGUUCGUCUGACUUGGGUAUAGGGGCGAAAGACUAAUCGAACCAUCUAGUAGCUGGUUCCCUCUGAAGUUUCCCUCAGGAUAGUUGGAGCUCGCGUGCGAGUUCUAUCGGGUAAAGUUGAUUAUUAGAGGCCUCGGGGGCGCAACGCCCUCGACCUAUUCUCAAAUUUUAAAUAGGUAGGACGGCGCGGCUACUUGGUUGAGCCACGCCACGGAAUCAAGAGCUCCAAGUGGGUCAUUUUUUGAAAGCAGAACUGUCGAUGCAGGAUGAACCGAAAGCCAGGUUACGGUGCCAAAAUGCGCGCUAACCUAGAUCCUAAAAAGGGUGUUGGUCGAUUAAGACAGCAGGACAGUGGUCAUGGAAGUCGAAAUCCGCUAAGGAGUGUGUAACAACUCACCUGCCGAAUAAACUAGCCUCGAAAAUUGAUGGCACUUAAGCUCGUGACCUACACCCGGUCGUUGGGACAAAUUUCAGGCCCUGAUGAGUAGGAGAGCGCGGCGGUCGCUGCAAAACCUUGGGCGCGAUCCCGGGAGGAGCGGCCAUCGGUGUAGAUCUUGGUGGUAGUAGCAAAUAAUCAAAUGAGAACUUUGAAGGUCGAAGAGGGGAAAGGUUCCAUGUUAACGGCACUUGAACAUGGGUUAGUCUAUCCUAAGGGUCGAGGAAACCCCGACAAACAGCGUAUUUCGCACUUGCUCCGAAAGGGAAUCGGGUUAAAAUUCCUGAAUUGGGACGUGGCGGUCGACGACAACGUUAGGAAGUCCAGAGACUUCGGUGGGAGCCUAGGGAAGAGUUAUUUUUUCUAUUUAACAGCCUGCCCACCCUGGAAUCGGCUCAUCCCGAGGUAGGGUCCAGCGGUUGGAAGAGCACCGCACGUCGCGUGGUGUCCGGUGCGCUCCCGGCGGCCCUUGAAAAUCUGGAGGACCAAAUGUCGUCCACGCCCGGUCGUACUCAUAACCGCAUCAGGUCUCUAAGGUGAACCACCUCUGGUCAAUGGAACAAUAAGGGAAGUCUUCAAAAUAGAUCUGUAACUUAGGGAAAAGGAUUGGCUCUGAGGGCUGGGCACGGGGGUCCCAGUCCCGAGCCCGUCGGCUGUCGGUGAACUGCUCGAGAUACUCCCCGUGCGUUGAACAGCCAACUCAGAACUGGUACGGACAAGGGGAAUCCGACUGUCUAAUUAAAACAAAGUAUUGCAAUGGUCCCAAUGGAUGUUCACGCAAUGUGAUUUCUGCCCAGUGCUCUGAAUGUCAAACUGAAGAAAUUCAACCAAGCGCGGGUAAACGGCGGGAGUAACUAUGACUCUCUUAAGGUAGUCAAACGCCUUGUCAUCUAAUUAGUGACGCACAUGAAUAGAUUAAUGAGAUUCCCACGGUCCCUGUCUACUAUCCAGCGAAACCACAGCUAAGGGAACGGGCUUGGAUGAAUCAGCGAGGAAAGAAGACCCUGUUGAGCUUGACUCUAGUCCGACUUGUGAAAUGACUUGAGAGGUGUAGUAUAAGUGGGAGCCAAAAGGCGAAAGUGAUAUACCACUACUUUUAACGUUAUUUUACUUAUUCCGUGAAUCAGAAGCGGGGCACUGUCCCUCUUUUUGGACCCAGGCUCGCUCUGCGGGCCGAUCCGGCUGGAUGACAUUGUCAGGUGAGGAGUUUGGCCGGGGCUGCACAUCUGUUAAAAGAUAACGCAAGUGUCCUAAGAUGAGCUCAAGGAGAAUAGAAAUCUCGUGUGGAACAGAAGGGUAAAAGCUAGUUUUAUUCUGACUUCCAGUACGAAUAAGAACCAUGAAGGUGUGGCCUAACGAUCCUUUAGACCUUCAAAAUUCGAAGAUAGAGGUGUCAAAAAAGUUACCACAGGGAUAAAUGGCUUGUGGCAGCCAAGCGUUCAUAGCGACGUUGCUUUUCCAUCCUUCGAUGUCGGCUCUUCCUAUCAUUGUGAAGCAGAAGUCACCAAGUGUUGGAUUGUUCACCCACCAAUAGGGAACAUGAGCUAGGUUUAGACCGUCGUGAGACAGGUUAGUUUUACCCUACUGAUUUCAUUGUUGCAAUAGUAAUUCAACUUAGUACGAGAGGAACUGUUAAUUCACACAAUUGGCCAUCGCGCUUGGUUGAAAAGCCAGUGGCGCAAAGCUACCGUGUGCUGGAUUAUGACUGAAUGUCUCUAAGUCAGAAUUCGGGCUACAAGCGACGCAUGUACCCGCCGUCCGCUUGCCGACCCACAUUAGGGGCCUCGUCCCCCAAGGGCAUGUGUUGUUGGCUAAGCCGCCGCGACGGAAGGGUCGCGGUGGCCACCUUAAAGUACAAGUGAAGUACAAUUUCCAUCGAGCGCAGGCAGAAUCCUUUGCAGAUGACUUAAUACGCGACAGGGUAUUGUAAGUGGCAGAGUGGCCUUGCUGCCAAGAUCCAAUGAGAUUCAGCCCUUUGU